This is a non-coding RNA of Paramuricea clavata, 129 nucleotides long. Lineage: Eukaryota; Metazoa; Cnidaria; Anthozoa; Malacalcyonacea; Plexauridae. The record is from the annotation of a GenBank genome assembly.
GCCUAUGUUUGACCUAUAGCUUCUUAACGAACUUUUUAAAUAUCUUCUUAACGAACUUUUUAAAAAAUACAUAUUUAAAAAGUUCAUAUUUAAAAAAGUUCGUUAAGAAGCUAUAGGUCAAACAUAGGC